AUUUCAUUGUUAUGAUGGUUUUGUAAAUUUAAGUCAGUAAAAUGUAAAAAUUUUGAUGGACAUUCUAUUCGUCAUUUAAACCGAACCAAUUCAGUGCUUUUGUGGAGCGCCAAAAUAAGAUGGAAAAUACAUUUCAAGAUAUCAGACAAUUUGCAGGAUGUGACAUUGGAGAAAAUCAAAAGCUAAAGAUUUUGAACUUCAUGAAAAGAUUCGGAAAAGUCUCUCUCUGUCUCACAAUUGGUAGAUUUUUGAUUAUUGACAAGAGAAUUCCCCUGAAGAUGGCAAAAACGUUGCAUUCAGUUUUCUCUGGUUUCAAAAAGCUAAAAAGCAUUUCGAAUGAAGAACAAAACUGUUCACAGAUUUAUAAAAUUAAUUUCACAGAAAUGAAUUUAAAAAAUAAAUAAAUAGAACCUCUGUAGGAAUGAGUAUUUUUUAUUAGAAAGUCUUUCUUGGCAAUUCUUUCUGGUAAAUAAUAUGUUUCUUUGCAAUUAUGAUGUUUGUUAAAUGUAUUUUAUA
This is a long non-coding RNA of Centruroides sculpturatus (bark scorpion), 516 nucleotides long. RefSeq lists it as uncharacterized. NCBI's taxonomy places the organism in Eukaryota, Metazoa, Arthropoda, Arachnida, Scorpiones, Buthidae. The transcript is spliced from 4 exons. The record is from RefSeq and is a predicted model, not a curated record.